This 492-nucleotide ribosomal RNA is filed under the name uncultured bacterium. RNAcentral's name for it is "partial 16S ribosomal RNA". It matches the Rfam family "Bacterial small subunit ribosomal RNA", at positions 29 to 507 of the family's 1533-position model. The record is from RNAcentral.
AGUGAACGCUGGCGGUAGGCCUAACACAUGCAAGUCGAACGGCAGCACAGUAAGAGCUUGCUCUUACGGGUGGCGAGUGGCGGACGGGUGAGGAAUACAUCGGAAUCUACUUUUUCGUGGGGGAUAACGUAGGGAAACUUACGCUAAUACCGCAUACGACCUACGGGUGAAAGCAUGGGAUCUUCUGACCUUGCGCGAUUGAAUGAGCCGAUGUCGGAUUAGCUAGUUGGCGGGGUAAAGGCCCACCAAGGCGACGAUCCGUAGCUGGUCUGAGAGGAUGAUCAGCAACACUGGAACUGAGACACGGUCCAGACUCCUACGGGAGGCAGCAGUGGGGAAUAUUGGACAAUGGGCGCAAGCCUGAUACAGCCAUACCGCGUGGGUGAAGAAGGCCUUCGGGUUGUAAAGCCCUUUUGUUGGGAAAGAAAAGCAGCAGGUUAAUACCCCGCUGUUCUGACGGUACCCAAAGAAUAAGCACCGGCUAACUUCGUG